CCAGUGAUGAACAGACCAUGCCCCACACAGGUAUCAUAUUUUAAACUGGAGAUGCUUUUCAAAGAGCCUGCAGCACCAGUGCACAGCCUCCCCAUGCCGUGCUGUGCUCUGCCAUGAAGCUGGUGAAGCUGCCCCAGCAUGAACAGAGCUCGUCCCCUGCUCUUAGCCCCAGCCCCGGGCUAUGGUCCUCGUGAGCAAAAGCAGGAGGACAAUGCCCCAGAAUAUGUUUGGAAAGAAACCUUUCCCCAAAACACGCUUUGCUCUGUGUGCUUCACAGUGAUGGCUGUAAGAGCAGCUCUGGCUGCAUCACGUACUGACCUUUUGUCGAGCAGCUGACUUCAGAAAUCUUUAUGGUAAUAAUGAGUCAGUGUUUAUCAAAGAAAAACCUCCUGCUCUGAUAACAGUAACAUGUACGUAAUAAACAAUUUUAAUGUCUGCAUUCAUUUCUCUGACUUCUGUUUUUGUGUUUUAAGGUGUUUUUUGAAAUCAGGCAGCAAAAAAAGGCCAUGGUAGUGCAAAAACAGGUGCGACCGCUAUGCUCUGAAGCCAGCUCUGCAGCCCCUCAAGACCGUUCCUGCCCGCUGGGGUUCGGCACCAUCGCUCUUAUUCAAUGCAGGUUUGAGCAAGCCACGGCUGCCUUCAGCCAGGUGUGUACAUUGGGUGCCAUACACACAGGUCCUUGGUGCCCAGGACCAAGGCAAUGCACAUCGACCUGUCUGUGCAUACAUCACGCAUCAUUAGCAUCAGCAUCCUGCAUUAGUUAUUAGUUAUUAUUAGUUAUUAGACUGCAGGCUGGCUGUAGCAGGUGAUGCUUGCCCAGUCCCACACUGUGGCUUCCCCUAGGCCAACUCUGCCUGACCGCAGGGGUCUGGGGGUUUCUAGCUAGCAAAACUUUGAGUUGUUGAGCAUUCCCCAUUUGGGGGUGGGGUAUGCUGAGCUAUAAGAACACUUGCAGUUAAUUAUUCUUCAUUUAUGCCUGUUUUUGGAGUGAGCACAUUUUCUGCAUUAAUUUCUUGACGUGAACAUCAGGAGCUGUCAGACUGUGAGAAAGGCUGGGUUUAACACAUUUUGCUUUUUCUGGAAACAUUCCUGCUCGGAGCCUGCACAGCAGCUCUGCUUGACACCUCCUGGUUUGCCAUACGGCUCUAUCUUGCAGCCCGGAGUCAUCCUGCAGCCAGGAGGGACAGGUGCAGCUCAGACACUGAAUAAGUGCACAGGAGACACUUCUCUGUUUCCUUUAAUGCUGUAAAUUACUAUGUGAUGCAAGCCAAAAAUAACUCAUUCCCCUUAUAAACCAUACAAGCUUGGGGAGCAGAAUAGAGGAGCUAUCUGACCCUGCAGGGAAAAGGGGCUGACGAAGUCUCUAUAGGAAGGAGAGCAGAUCUGCAUCCCUGCACUGGCUGGUGCUGGGUGAGUGUCUGGAGGGGCAGUCAUGCCCUGCUCCAGUUCCAAGUCCCUGCCUUCUUCAGCCUCCACUGCUGGCUUCAGCGGGCAACUGGUCUUGGUGCUUCAUUUACCUACAGGACCUUUCUCUCCUUUUUGCAUUUCUGCCAGAAGCAUGGUGAGGGGGGAACUGCCACCUUCCCUGCCCCAAGUCUUGCCUCCACAGCCAGCUUGGCUGCCCAAGGAACUGUUCUAGGCAAUGUGGGCAAGAGAGUUGGGAUGGUUUUUGAUCUGGAUCUGCUCCCCUGGAUGGCUGCCUGCUUCUUCCGCCCCUAGAGGUGGUGCUAAUCCCACCAAACAGCCCGGGCAGAGCCUCAGCUGCUU
This 1767-nucleotide long non-coding RNA is filed under the name Anas platyrhynchos platyrhynchos (common mallard). Its description in RNAcentral is "lncRNA (ENSAPLG00000030264.1)". The record is from RNAcentral. Lineage: Eukaryota; Metazoa; Chordata; Aves; Anseriformes; Anatidae.